AAUAUUUGAAAAAGGAAAAAGAGAGGCGGGUUGUUAGGCUGGCGAGACGUGGACUAUGUAGAUCUAGUUGGUAACCAAAAACACCAUGUUGGAGGGAGGGCCUGAACCAGCCGGGACCGCUACCAGCCCUGUCGCACGCUAAAUGUUUUUGGAGUAACAAAAUAUGAAUCCACUGCACGCUACUAGCCUACGGAGGUAGUGCGAUGUUUACUUUUGUAAAACAGCAGUAUAAAACUACUACGGUGUCAUCAACUAUUUCAAUUCUCGUCCAAAUUCGGAAUUUCUGUUUGUAAACAAUUCUAAAGAGAAAACUAUUUUAAAAACUAAAAGGAAGGAAUGGAUGAACGGCCCCCACUUUCCAACACAGUGAUCACACGACAUGACAUAAAAGGGAGAGCAGUCACAAGCCAGAGUAUAAUCGGUGCUAAUGGACACUGGCACAAAGUACGUCCCUCCAACCAUUGAGAGCGUCACAAUCAAGGGAGUGUAUCACUCGCGCAACAUUUAUCCCCCCUAUCAAACCGAUUCUAUUCCCCUAGGUGGAGAUGAUUGGCAAUCGCAGAUGUGGUGUAGACGGGUGGGAACAACCAUCAUUCUAUCGUUAUCUGAUGUAUCCAACAGCCAACUCUGAUGACGGCAGCGAGAUGUGUGCAGAUAUGUGGCAGGGAGGGAGAAAGAAGAGAAAAAAACUCCACCAUACAGGAUUGUACAUUAAGAUGAAAACGAUAUUAUGUGGGUAGAUCGUAGCGCGGAGAAGACGUCUGUAAGGAAUCUACAGUGUUGCCGGGUGUCAGCAGACGUUUCCGGCUGAACAAACACUGUCAGCUGGGCGCCUGUGGCUGGGGGGAGGCGUGCGCUGAGGUAAUUAGAGAGAACAGCCACGCUUUAACGCUGCUGUGAUACUCGGGGUAAACUCAAACAAACGCCUUAUCAACUUUAAAUUUUUUCCCCCUUCCAGCUAGAUGUUUCGACUAGCCUUUGAUUUACACAGACAGGCCACUCGCUACUUCCAAGCCAAUAACCAGUUUUCAAAGCAGAAACACUGCAAGGCCUGCAGUUUGCUGUGUGAUGUAGUAGACCCAGCCCUGUUGAUUACAUUCGCAAAACCCCGGGAGCUGAAGUAGGACCGAUACUGUGGUCUACUCCAGAUAUCAAUCAAUUUCACGGUCCGUGUGUGCACGGCAGAAUAUCUGGGACGAAUUAAAAUUGCUAGGAAGGGAUCGUUGGAGUAUUUUCAUACAACAGAAGGGAUCGCUCAAGUAUUUUCAUAGCACAGACCUACACAAAAAAAUCGACGAGGUUAGAGUCAUCAUUACUUGUUUGGAUUACCUCUCCGCAAUUCAAAUUAUUUCAACGGAUAUUCGGAUUACAUCAUUCGCCAUUCGGAUUAUUUACAGUAGAUACGAGGGUUGUAUCACGUGAUCGCUGCUUGUCACUCAAUCUACGGGUCCAGAUCGGUACACAUCAUUUAGAGAACAACUCCCUGGGAUUUGGGAUCAAAGGGCAAAGUAAGGAAAAAAACUUGGUGGUAUUGGACCUCCAGCCAUACCAUCUUGUGGAGGCAUUUGACCCAAUGGACUAGGAGCGGCUGCGUUCUAAAAUGAAAGUAACAUACAAA
Physella acuta is the source of this 1618-nucleotide long non-coding RNA. RefSeq lists it as uncharacterized. NCBI's taxonomy places the organism in Eukaryota, Metazoa, Mollusca, Gastropoda, Physidae. The record is from RefSeq and is a predicted model, not a curated record.